This is a long non-coding RNA of Gigantopelta aegis, 1089 nucleotides long. RefSeq lists it as uncharacterized. Lineage: Eukaryota; Metazoa; Mollusca; Gastropoda; Neomphalida; Peltospiridae. The record is from RefSeq and is a predicted model, not a curated record. The transcript is spliced from 3 exons.
AACUUUUCCUCGGUGCUAACUUUGAUUCAAACUCCAUUCAGAGCCAAGUACAGUGAAUAUUGUCAAAGUCAAGGUCAUUGUGAACUUGCAUGGUCGAGUGACAGCUAAUUAAUCAACCAGUAUAGUUUAAUUAAAUAAAAUGACAAAAUCAUAAUGUUUUUAUUAUUGGUGUCGUUAAACAAACUCCACAACUCCAUACAUACAGUAAUAACGCACGCGCGCGCGCGCACACACACACACACACACACACCAAAAAAAGAAGUUUGUUUACAAAUUCCUUUCUUAUGACAGGUGACUGAGUCACUCUUUUUAACUCCUCACCAACCCCAUUCAGAAUUCCGGAUCUUGUCUUUAUGAUGGCGUAAUAAUGCGCCCGAGCCACUUACUGUAUGACCGUCUGACAAACGGCAUGAAGCACGCACUUCUGUGACAGCUGAACCGUCGUACACGGGGUGAUGUCUGGUGUCCAAACUUCUGCGUUCUUAUGACGACGGCUUUCUGGCAGGACACUUUCUGCAUGUGGCAGUAGCUGGGAUGGCAGCCACCAGGUGGCAGUAGCUGUUGUACGUGACAGAGUCCUCCCCGCAGAUGUAGUUUUCCUUCGCCAUGUCGCAGUUGAUGUUACAGUGGACGCAGUGAGGCAGUCGGUUCUGGUCUUCCAGGCAGACUUUGUUCUUGAGGAAACAUUUGACGUGCUCGCAGGACCCUGAAAGUGGAAUAGGAUUGUGAUCAUUGUGCUUGUUACUUCACAUUCGAUACUAUCGCAUCAGAUCGGAUCAGAUUGUAUCGCAUCGCAUCGCAUAACAUCGCAUCGCCCUUAAUCGCAUCUCAGACAUGUUCAGGAGUACGAGGCUGGUUUCUUGUGUGCCUAUUAAACGUACGUGAUGUGAUAGAAUUCGACGAUGCCAGUUAAAUUGUUCGCGAGCGCUCUGUCUCCUGAACACGCGACAGAUAUAUAGUUGAUGAUGGUCAUGUCAGUAGCGCACCUAACGUGAGAGCAUGUGGGAGUGGGUUUCUUGCUACAAGUUUUAUGCCAUUGCCCUUGAGACGAUAAUGCAGUUUAUCUAUAACAUAAAAAAUCAAUAUUUA